Molecule: long non-coding RNA, 93 nt
Organism: Etheostoma spectabile (orangethroat darter)
Lineage: Eukaryota; Metazoa; Chordata; Actinopteri; Perciformes; Percidae
Exons: 3
Source: RefSeq, a predicted model, not a curated record
CAGUAGAGAAUAGUUUUAAAGGAGGUUGGUCGGGGUGGAAGAUGGCUCAAACAACACCGGACUUUCACCCCGGAGACCUGGGAUUGUGUCCCG